RNAcentral lists this transfer RNA (71 nucleotides) under Corynebacterium wankanglinii. Its description in RNAcentral is "Corynebacterium sp. zg-913 tRNA-Val". It matches the Rfam family "tRNA". From Rfam's summary of the family: Transfer RNA (tRNA) molecules are approximately 80 nucleotides in length. Their secondary structure includes four short double-helical elements and three loops (D, anti-codon, and T loops). Further hydrogen bonds mediate the characteristic L-shaped molecular structure. tRNAs have two regions of fundamental functional importance: the anti-codon, which is responsible for specific mRNA codon recognition, and the 3' end, to which the tRNAs corresponding amino acid is attached (by aminoacyl-tRNA synthetases). tRNAs cope with the degeneracy of the genetic code in two manners: having more than one tRNA (with a specific anti-codon) for a particular amino acid; and 'wobble' base-pairing, i.e. permitting non-standard base-pairing at the 3rd anti-codon position. Lineage: Bacteria; Bacillati; Actinomycetota; Actinomycetes; Mycobacteriales; Corynebacteriaceae. The record is from RNAcentral.
GCGCGAUUAGCUCAGCGGUAGAGCACUACCUCGACACGGUAGGGUCACUGGUUCGAUCCCAGUAUCGCGCA